Pan troglodytes (chimpanzee) is the source of this 231-nucleotide long non-coding RNA. RefSeq lists it as uncharacterized. NCBI's taxonomy places the organism in Eukaryota, Metazoa, Chordata, Mammalia, Primates, Hominidae. The record is from RefSeq and is a predicted model, not a curated record. The transcript is spliced from 2 exons.
CUUAAGCCUAUGUCUCUUGGUUUACUCCCUCAUUUUGCUGAAGUGCAUCCUUCAACAACUUUCCAACAAAGGAUGACUGGGAGAGAUGGAGUCUCACCAUGUUGUUGUCCAGGCUGGUCUCAAACUCCUAGGCUCAAGAGAUCUUCCCACCCUGGCCUCCCAAAGUGUUGGGAUUACAGGCAUGAGCCACUGCACCUGGCCCCCAACUUCUCGAAUAAAAUGAAACUAUGA